AGAGUUUGAUCCUGGCUCAGGAUGAACGCUAGCGAUAGGCUUAACACAUGCAAGUCGAGGGGCAGCAUGGUCUUAGCUUGCUAAGACUGAUGGCGACCGGCGCACGGGUGCGUAACGCGUAUGCAACUUGCCUCACAGAGGGGGAUAACCCGUCGAAAGACGGACUAAUACCGCGUACACUUAUUAGAGGGCAUCCUUUAGUAAGGAAAUGAAAUUCGCUGUGAGAUAGGCAUGCGUCCCAUUAGCUAGUUGGUGGGGUAACGGCUCACCAAGGCGACGAUGGGUAGGGGAACUGAGAGGUUGAACCCCCACACUGGUACUGAGACACGGACCAGACUCCUACGGGAGGCAGCAGUGAGGAAUAUUGGUCAAUGGGCGAGAGCCUGAACCAGCCAAGUCGCGUGAAGGAUGACUGUCUUAUGGAUUGUAAACUUCUUUUAUACGGGAAUAACAAGAGUCACGUGUGGCUCCCUGCAUGUACCGUAUGAAUAAACAUCGGCUAACUCCGUGCCAGCAGCCGCGGUAAUACGGAGGAUGCGAGCGUUAUCCGGAUUUAUUGGGUUUAAAGGGUGCGUACGCGGCCUGUUAAGUCAGCGGUGAAAUCUAGGAGCUUAACUCCUAAAUUGCCAUUGAUACUGGCGGGCUUGAGUGUAGAUGACGUAGGCGGAAUGCGUGAUGUACCGGUGGAAUGCAUAGAUAUCACGCAGAACUCCGAGUUGCGAAGGCAGCUUACUACGGUACAACUGACGUUGAAGCACGAAAGCGUGGGCUAUCAAACAGGAUUAGAUACGCUGGUAGUCCACGCUGUAAACGAUGAUAACUGGGCGUAUGCGAUAUACAGUAUGCUCCUAAGCGAAAGCGUUAAGUUAUCCACCUGGGGAGUACGCCGGCAACGGUGAAACUCAAAGGAAUUGACGGGGGCCCGCACAAGCGGAGGAACAUGUGGUUUAAUUCGAAGCAACGCGAAGAACCUUAUCAGGUCUUGACAUCCCUCUGACCGCUCUAGAGAUAGAGCUUUCCUUCGGGACAGAGGUGACAGGUGGUGCAUGGUUGUCGUCAGCUCGUGUCGUGAGAUGUUGGGUUAAGUCCCGCAACGAGCGCAACCCCUAUUGUUAGUUGCCAUCAUUCAGUUGGGCACUCUAGCGAGACUGCCGGUAAUAAACCGGAGGAAGGUGGGGAUGACGUCAAAUCAUCAUGCCCCUUAUGACCUGGGCUACACACGUGCUACAAUGGUUGGUACAACGAGUCGCAAGCCGGUGACGGCAAGCUAAUCUCUUAAAGCCAAUCUCAGUUCGGAUUGUAGGCUGCAACUCGCCUACAUGAAGUCGGAAUCGCUAGUAAUCGCGGAUCAGCACGCCGCGGUGAAUACGUUCCCGGGCCUUGUACACACCGCCCGUCACACCACGAGAGUUUGUAACACCCGAAGUCGGUGAGGUAACCUUUUAGGAGCCAGCCGCCUAAGGUGGGAUAGAUGAUUGGGGUGAAGUCGUAACAAGGUAACC
RNAcentral lists this ribosomal RNA (1502 nucleotides) under uncultured bacterium. Its description in RNAcentral is "bacterial SSU rRNA". It matches the Rfam family "Bacterial small subunit ribosomal RNA". The record is from RNAcentral.